RNAcentral lists this ribosomal RNA (1996 nucleotides) under human oral metagenome. RNAcentral's name for it is "bacterial LSU rRNA". It matches the Rfam family "Bacterial large subunit ribosomal RNA", at positions 1 to 1977 of the family's 2925-position model. The record is from RNAcentral. RNAcentral also lists the same sequence under 1 other name.
AGAAGAUGGUAAGGGCAAACGGUGGAUGCCUUGGCACAAGAAGCCGAUGAAGGACGUGAUAAGCUGCGAUAAGCCACGGUAAGGAGCACAUAUCCUGUGACCCGUGGAUUUCCGAAUGGGUAAACCCACCAAGAGUCAUUUCUUGGUACUUCCUGCUGAAUAUAUAGGCAGGAUAGAGGUAACCGGGGGAACUGAAACAUCUAAGUACCCCGAGGAAGAGAAAUCAAACGAGAUUCCCCUAGUAGUGGCGAGCGAACGGGGAUAUAGGACAAACCGUCAGUUGCGCAAGCGCUGGCGGGGUUGUAGGACCAUUCAUUGUGGAGUUACAAAACUUCGUGGAAGCAGAAUAGCUUGGAAAAGCUGGCGAGACAGGGUAAAAGCCCCGUACGCGAAUCUGCGAAGACUCCCGAGUGGCACCUGAGUACUGCCGGACACGUGAAACCCGGUGGGAACCUGGGGGGUCCACCCUCCAAUCCUAAAUACUCUCUUGUGACCGAUAGUGAACCAGUACCGUGAGGGAAAGGUGAAAAGCACCCCUAGCGGGGAGUGAAAUAGUACCUGAAACCGUUUGCCUACAAGCAGUCGGAGCAGACUUUUGUCUGUGACGGCGUGCCUUUUGUAGAAUGAGCCAGCGAGUUACGGCAUGUGGCAAGGUUAAGCUAAAAAGCGAGCCGCAGCGAAAGCGAGUCUGAAUAGGGCGAGUGAGUCGCAUACCGUAGACGCGAAGCCAGGUGAGCUAUCCAUGAGCAGGCUGAAGCGGGGGUAAGACCCCGUGGAGGGCCGAACCCACUUAGGUUGAAAACUGAGGGGAUGACUUGUGGAUAGGAGUGAAAGGCCUAUCAAACCUGGAGAUAUCUCGUUCUCUCCGAAAUAGCUUUAGGGCUAGCCUCGGAUGUUUACCAAUGGGGGUAGAGCACUGAAUAGUUGCGGGGGCUUCACCGCCUACCAAGAUUAAUCAAACUCCGAAUACCAUUGGUCUAGAAUCCGGGAGUCAGAAUAUGUGGGCUAAGCUGUGUAUUCGAAAGGGAAACAGCCCAGACCGCCCGCUAAGGUCCCAAAAUCAAUGCUAAGUGGCAAAGGAUGUGCGUUUGCUCAGACAACCAGGAUGUUGGCUUAGAAGCAGCCAUUCAUUUAAAGAGUGCGUAAUAGCUCACUGGUCGAGUGGACAUGCGCCGACAAUAUACGGGGCUAAGCAUUGUACCGAAGCGGCGGAUCAGUACUUUGUACUGGUGGUAGGAGAGCUUUCUGUACGGGUUGAAGCAGUUGGAUAACCAACUGUGGACUGUCCAGAAGUGAGAAUGCUGGCAUGAGUAACGAGAGACAUGUAAAAAACAUGUCCGCCGUAAACCCAAGGUUUCCUGGGCAAGGCUAAUCCUCCCAGGGUUAGGCGGGAGCUAAGGCAAGGCCGGAAGGCGUAGUCGAUGCACAACAGGUAGAAAUUCCUGUCCCUCCAAAAGAGCGUUAUCACCAAUGGGGUGACGGAGCAGGGUAGCUAGGCGGGGUUCUGGACGUCCCCGUGAUGGCACGUAGGCUGAGAAGUAGUGAAAUGCGCUUCUCGUGAUGGCUGAGGUGUCGGACGAAGCAAUUGAGUGAAGCUAGUAAGCCCAUACUUCCAAGAAAAACCUCUAGGGAGCUCUGAGGAGCCCGUACCGCAAACCGACACAGGUGGGUGGGUAGAGCAUACCAAGGCGAUCGGGAGAACUAUGGUUAAGGAACUCGGCAAAAUUGCCCCGUAACUUCGGGAGAAGGGGUGCCGGUUUCGGUGAAGGGAUUUACUCCCCGAGCUAAGAUCGGUCACAGUAAAUAGGUCCAAGCGACUGUUUAUCAAAAACACAGGACUCUGCUGAAGUCGUAAGACGACGUAUAGGGUCUGACGCCUGCCCGGUGCCGGAAGGUCACGAGGAGUUGUUAGCAUUAGCGAAGCAGCGAAUCUAAGCCCCGGUAAACGGCGGCCGUAACUAUAACGGUCCUAAGGUAGCGAAAUUCCUUGUCGGGU